This 112-nucleotide ribosomal RNA is filed under the name Salvator merianae (Argentine black and white tegu). Lineage: Eukaryota; Metazoa; Chordata; Lepidosauria; Squamata; Teiidae. The record is from RNAcentral.
GCCUACAGUGUUUAGGCUGCCCCUCACAAAUCUUGUCUGAUCUUGGAACCCGAGCUGUUUCUGGUUAGUACUUAGAUGGGAGACUGCCUGGGAAUGUCGGAUGUUGUAGACC